UUUGGGACCCCCUUCUCUGAAACACGGACCAAGGAGUCUAACAUGUGCGCGAGUCAUUGGGACCGCAAAACCUAAAGGCGUAAUGAAAGUGAAGGUCGAUCUUGCGUCGACUAAGGGAGGAUAGGCUGUGUCACGAUGCAGCCCCGCACUCCCGGGGCGUCUCGUACUCAUUGCGAGUUGAGGCGCACCCAGAGCGUACACGUUGGGACCCGAAAGAUGGUGAACUAUGCCUGGUCAGGACGAAGUCAGGGGAAACCCUGAUGGAGGUCCGUAGCGAUUCUGACGUGCAAAUCGAUCGUCGGAACUGGGUAUAGGGGCGAAAGACUAAUCGAACCAUCUAGUAGCUGGUUCCCUCCGAAGUUUCCCUCAGGAUAGCUGGCACUCGCGUUGAGCGAGUCUCAUCUGGUAAAGCGAAUGAUUAGAGGCCUUGGGGCCGAAACGACCUCAACCUAUUCUCAAACUUUAAAUGGGUGAGAUCUCUGGCUUGCUUGAACAGUGAAGCCACGAGAUUUCGGAUCAGAGUGCCAAGUGGGCCAAUUUU
Molecule: ribosomal RNA, 541 nt
Filed under: Synergus pallipes
Lineage: Eukaryota; Metazoa; Arthropoda; Insecta; Hymenoptera; Cynipidae
Description: partial large subunit ribosomal RNA
Rfam family: Eukaryotic large subunit ribosomal RNA
Source: RNAcentral